AGUGAACGCUGGCGGUAGGCCUAACACAUGCAAGUCGAACGGCAGCACAGGAGAGCUUGCUCUCUGGGUGGCGAGUGGCGGACGGGUGAGGAAUACAUCGGAAUCUACUUUUUCGUGGGGGAUAACGUAGGGAAACUUACGCUAAUACCGCAUACGACCUACGGGUGAAAGCAGGGGAUCUUCGGACCUUGCGCGAUUGAAUGAGCCGAUGUCGGAUUAGCUAGUUGGCGGGGUAAAGGCCCACCAAGGCGACGAUCCUUAGCUGGUCUGAGAGGAUGAUCAGCCACACUGGAACUGAGACACGGUCCAGACUCCUACGGGAGGCAGCAGUGGGGAAUAUUGGACAAUGGGCGCAAGCCUGCUCCAGCCAUACCGCGUGGGUGAAGAAGGCCUUCGGGUUGUAAAGCCCUUUUGUUGGGAAAGAAAUCCAGCUGGUUAAUACCCGGUUGGGAUGACGGUACCCAAAGAAUAAGCACCGGCUAACUUCGUGCCAGCAGCCGCGGUAA
This 506-nucleotide ribosomal RNA is filed under the name uncultured bacterium. RNAcentral's name for it is "partial 16S ribosomal RNA". It matches the Rfam family "Bacterial small subunit ribosomal RNA", at positions 29 to 523 of the family's 1533-position model. The record is from RNAcentral.